RNAcentral lists this ribosomal RNA (886 nucleotides) under uncultured bacterium. Its description in RNAcentral is "bacterial SSU rRNA". It matches the Rfam family "Bacterial small subunit ribosomal RNA", at positions 515 to 1401 of the family's 1533-position model. The record is from RNAcentral.
CCGCGGUAAUAAGGAGGAUGCGAGCGUUAUCCGGAUUUAUUGGGUUUAAAGGGUGCGUAGGCGGGCUUUUAAGUCAGCGGUGAAACGCAAGGGCUCAACCCUUGACCUGCCGUUGAAACUGGAGUUCUAGAAAUGCGGAUGCUGUGGGAGGAAUGUGUGGUGUAGCGGUGAAAAUGCAUAGAUAUCACACAGAACAACCGAUUGCGAAGGCAUCUCACAAAUCCGUGAUUGACGCUGAGGCACGAAAGUGUGGGGAUCAAACAGGAUUAGAUACCCUGGUAGUCCACACUGUAAACGAUGAUAACUCGCUGUCGGCGAUACACAGUCGGUGGCCAAGCGAAAGCGAUAAGUUAUCCACCUGGGGAGUACGACCGCAAGGUUGAAACUCAAAGGAAUUGACGGGGGCCCGCACAAGCGGAGGAACAUGUGGUUUAAUUCGAUGAUACGCGAGGAACCUUACCCGGGCUCGAACGGCAAGUGAACGACACAGAGAUGUGAAGGUCCUUCGGGACACUUGUCGAGGUGCUGCAUGGUUGUCGUCAGCUCGUGCCGUGAGGUGUCGGCUUAAGUGCCAUAACGAGCGCAACCCUUGCCAUUAGUUACCAGCAUGUAAUGAUGGGGACUCUAGUGGGACUGCCACCGUAAGGUGUGAGGAGGGGGGGGAUGACGUCAAAUCAGCACGGCCCUUACGUCCGGGGCGACACACGUGUUACAAUGGUGGGUACAGAGGGCAGCUACCUGGUGACAGGAUGCAAAUCUCGAAAACCCAUCUCAGUUCGGAUCGGAGUCUGCAACUCGACUCCGUGAAGUUGGAUUCGCUAGUAAUCGCGCAUCAGCCAUGGCGCGGUGAAUACGUUCCCGGGCCUUGCACACACCGCCCGUCAAG